Molecule: long non-coding RNA, 908 nt
Organism: Sciurus carolinensis (gray squirrel)
Lineage: Eukaryota; Metazoa; Chordata; Mammalia; Rodentia; Sciuridae
Exons: 3
Source: RefSeq, a predicted model, not a curated record
AGGUGUCCAGACCAGCAUUUACCAGACUUGCUGGUCACAAGGAUGACUGAGGCACUGGACAAAAUUUUCUAUUCCUUGACCCCUGCCCUGUAGGUCCUGAUCCACAGGGUCUGAGUGGUGGUACUGGGUAGGGCUGGUGUGAGCCAGGAAUCUGACUUAACUGUCAGGAAAGCCUAAGAACCCUUGGGCCAGGAUAUGCCAUGGAUUUUCCGACCUCCGGACUUUUGCACACGAUGAAAUUCCCUUUUCCAGGGGUUUGCAACUAUCCCCUGUGAGAAGUUCUACUCAUCCCUGGAGGAACAAUUCAAAUGUCAGUGGCUGGGCUGAGCGUUCCUGAUGGACAGGUGGUGUGUGUUAAGGGCAAUGCCGAUGUUGCCGAGGGCCCUGAACUGCAAUUUCAGCUGAGCUAGCCGUUCAUCCCCUGCCUCUUGUAACGGCUGGAGGCCGUGGGCUGGCCAGGAGGCUCUUGUUCCCUGUCAACUUCCAGGGACUUCUACUCAUCUCUGUGGUUGAAGGUAGUCCCCAUUAAGCCUGUUCCAGUGCAGGGGAAGGAGAAGGAGACACGGAAAGGGGUCCUGCCCAAGACGUGAGACCCUCCCAGGAGCCCGCACAGCCGACUGCACCUCACCCUGUCAGAACUUGGCCAGGACAACCCCUGAAGUUGCAAGGAUUCCCGGAUAAUUCCAGAGGAAGGAGAAGGGAGCAAUGCCCCAGAGGAGGAACUUACCAAUGACGUCUUCUGUUAUCAUUUUAGCCUAGUGAAAAUUCCAGGACCUCAAAGUCUGGAUGUUGGAGAAGAAUGGGGAGGGAAAGAAAUCCCAUUCCCUCAGCCCAGAAUUCCAACCUGGGAAUUUCUAUGGAAGAAAAUGAAUGAAAAAAAAAAAAAAAAAACCAAACAAGUUUGUACA